AUUGAACGCUGGCGGCAUGCUUUACACAUGCAAGUCGAACGGUAACAGGGAGCUUGCUCCGCUGACGAGUGGCGAACGGGUGAGUAAUGCAUCGGAACAUGCCCAGUCAUGGGGGAUAACUACGCGAAAGCGUAGCUAAUACCGCAUACGCCCUGAGGGGGAAAGUGGGGGGUCUUAGGACCUCACGUGAUUGGAGUGGCCGAUGUCAGAUUAGCUAGUUGGUGAGGUAAAGGCUCACCAAGGCGACGAUCUGUAGCGGGUCUGAGAGGAUGAUCCGCCACACUGGGACUGAGACACGGCCCAGACUCCUACGGGAGGCAGCAGUGGGGAAUUUUGGACAAUGGGCGCAAGCCUGAUCCAGCCAUGCCGCGUGAGUGAAGAAGGCC
Molecule: ribosomal RNA, 386 nt
Filed under: uncultured bacterium
Lineage: Bacteria
Description: bacterial SSU rRNA
Rfam family: Bacterial small subunit ribosomal RNA
Source: RNAcentral